Molecule: ribosomal RNA, 451 nt
Filed under: uncultured bacterium
Lineage: Bacteria
Description: partial 16S ribosomal RNA
Rfam family: Bacterial small subunit ribosomal RNA
Source: RNAcentral
AGCGAACGCUGGCGGCAGGCCUAACACAUGCAAGUCGAGCGGCCGUAGCAAUACGGCAGCGGCAGACGGGAGAGUAACACGUGGGAACGCGCCCUUCGGUUCGGGAUAACUCAGGGAAACUUGAGCUGAUACCGGAUAUGCCCUUACGGGGAAAGAUUUAUUGCCGAAGGAACGGCCCGCGUCCGAUUAGCUUGUUGGUGAGGUAACGGCUCACCAAGGCGACGAUCGGUAGCUGGUCUGAGAGGAUGACCAGCCUCACUGGGACUGAGACACGGCCCAGACUCCUACGGGAGGCAGCAGUGGGGAAUAUUGGACAAUGGGCGCAAGCCUGAUCCAGCCAUGCCGCGUGGGUGAUGAAGGCCCUAGGGUUGUAAAGCCCUUUCGGCGGGGACGAUAAUGACGGUACCCGCAGAAGAAGCCCCGGCUAACUUCGUGCCAGCAGCCGCCGUAA